RNAcentral lists this ribosomal RNA (547 nucleotides) under Trigonopterus obelix. Its description in RNAcentral is "partial 16S ribosomal RNA". Lineage: Eukaryota; Metazoa; Arthropoda; Insecta; Coleoptera; Curculionidae. The record is from RNAcentral.
ACCUGGCUCACACCGGUUUAAACUCAGAUCAUGUAAAAUUUUAAAGGUCGAACAGACCCAAACUAUCAGCUUCUACACCAACAAUCAAUUUUAAUCCAACAUCGAGGUCGCAACCCCCCCCUUCGAUAAGAACUCUAAAGAGGAUUACGCUGUUAUCCCUAAGGUAAUUUUAUCUUUUAAUCUUCACCAAGGAUCAUUUACCUAUAAAUCAAUAUCUCAAUUAAGAAAAGUUUAAUUAAUUUUCCCAUCACCCCAACAAAAUAAAUAAAAAUAAAACAGAAUAAUUCUCUCUCCUUCAUACCACUCUAUUCCCAUUUAUAAAACUCUAUAGGGUCUUCUCGUCUUUCAUAAACAUUUAGGCUUUUUCACCUAAAAAUAAAAUUCUAUCAAAUUUUUCUAGAGACAGCUAUUUUUCCAUCAAACCCUUCAUUCAAGCUUUCAAUUAAAAAACUAGUGAUUAUGCUACCUUUGCACGGUCAAGAUACCGCGGCCCUUUAAUUCUUCAGCGAGCAGGCCCGACCUGAAAUCAUUUAUCAACAAGCCAUGU